RNAcentral lists this ribosomal RNA (439 nucleotides) under uncultured bacterium. Its description in RNAcentral is "partial 16S ribosomal RNA". It matches the Rfam family "Bacterial small subunit ribosomal RNA", at positions 339 to 795 of the family's 1533-position model. The record is from RNAcentral.
CUACGGGACGCUGCAGUGAGGAAUAUUGCACAAUGGGGGGAACCCUGAUGCAGCAACGCCGCGUGGAGGAUGACGCAUUUCGGUGUGUAAACUCCUUUUAUAUGUCAAGAAAAUGACGGUAGCAUAUGAAUAAGCACCGGCUAACUCCGUGCCAGCAGCCGCGGUAAUACGGAGGGUGCAAGCGUUACUCGGAAUCACUGGGCGUAAAGGACGCGUAGGCGGGUUGGAAAGUCAGGUGUGAAAUCCUACAGCUUAACUGUAGAACUGCACUUGAAACUUCUAAUCUAGAGUAUGGGAGGGGGAGAUGGAAUUAGUGGUGUAGGGGUAAUAUCCGUAGAUAUCACUAGGAAUACCUAAAGCGAAGGCGAUCUGCUGGAACAUAACUGACGCUAAGGCGUGAAAGCGUGGGGAGCAAACAGGAUUAGAUACCCUCGUAGUC